Molecule: unclassified non-coding RNA, 227 nt
Filed under: uncultured Entoloma
Lineage: Eukaryota; Fungi; Basidiomycota; Agaricomycetes; Agaricales; Entolomataceae
Description: sequence contains ITS2
Source: RNAcentral
AAUCUCUCAUCCUUUCGAGCUUUCGUUGAGAAGCUGGUCAGGCUUGGAUUCUGGGAGUUUGCUGGCUAUAUUGAGUCGGCUCUUCUUAAAUGUAUUAGCAGGAUCAUCGCUAAAUCAUGUUUGAUAUGAUAAUUAUUUAUAUCAAUGAAAUGAUAUCUGGCGGAUUUUCAUUUAGGAAAAUCGAUCAAGCUUUACAAUCGUCUCCGGAUAAUAAAUACUUUUGAAUC